This 71-nucleotide transfer RNA is filed under the name Xiphophorus maculatus (southern platyfish). It matches the Rfam family "tRNA". Rfam says of the family: Transfer RNA (tRNA) molecules are approximately 80 nucleotides in length. Their secondary structure includes four short double-helical elements and three loops (D, anti-codon, and T loops). Further hydrogen bonds mediate the characteristic L-shaped molecular structure. tRNAs have two regions of fundamental functional importance: the anti-codon, which is responsible for specific mRNA codon recognition, and the 3' end, to which the tRNAs corresponding amino acid is attached (by aminoacyl-tRNA synthetases). tRNAs cope with the degeneracy of the genetic code in two manners: having more than one tRNA (with a specific anti-codon) for a particular amino acid; and 'wobble' base-pairing, i.e. permitting non-standard base-pairing at the 3rd anti-codon position. The record is from Rfam by way of RNAcentral. Lineage: Eukaryota; Metazoa; Chordata; Actinopteri; Cyprinodontiformes; Poeciliidae.
GCCUUGUUGGCGCAGUAGGCAGCGCUUCAGUCUCAUAAUCUGAAGGUUGAAUUCAACCCCCACACGGGGCA